CCUCCUUAUAACAAAGUUACACUUACAGAGUGUUCACACAAAUAAUUAAUUACUAAAUAUGAAAAGAGAUGCUAAAGGCCUGUACCUCACCUGGUUAUAGCGCACCCCUGAUAAGGGUGAGGUCGGCAGUUCAAGUCUGCCCAGGCCUACCAUUGCCUGGUUAGAUUAAGUAACACUCAUUAUGGGGCUAUAGCUCAGCUGGGAGAGCGCUUGAUUUGCAUUCAAGAGGUCCGUGGUUCGAUCCCGCGUAGCUCCACCAUACUGAAACACUCUCUUAAAUAAAACUCUAAAAAAUACACAUUUACACAAAUGUCUAUUCUUUAGAGUCUUUAAUGACUCAUGCUCUUUAACAAUUUGGAAAGCUGAUAAAAUAAGGGUAAACAUUAUUGUUUAUUUAAUUUUGUUAUUCAACAAUUUUAAAAA
This 423-nucleotide transfer RNA is filed under the name uncultured Gammaproteobacteria bacterium. RNAcentral describes it as "partial 16S-23S ribosomal RNA intergenic spacer". The stretch from base 184 to 256 matches the Rfam family "tRNA". Lineage: Bacteria; Pseudomonadati; Pseudomonadota; Gammaproteobacteria. The record is from RNAcentral.